This 1056-nucleotide long non-coding RNA is filed under the name Coturnix japonica (Japanese quail). RNAcentral describes it as "lncRNA (ENSCJPG00005012355.1)". The record is from RNAcentral. Lineage: Eukaryota; Metazoa; Chordata; Aves; Galliformes; Phasianidae.
GCAGUGAUCCACGGGCAGCUCCCAUCGUUACCCUAUGCCCCCCAAACAAAGGAGCUGCGAUAUCCCCACCUCCGCAGCGCACCCGGCCGCGCUGCCCCUCGCACCUCUCUGUCUCCUCCUACAGGAGCUGCCGCGCCUUUGCACCGGCAAAGCUCUGCUCGACGGCCCUUCGGCCGGCGGUGCACGGAGCCCCAUGCGGCAUCUCCACCCAGGAGAAGAGCUCCUGGGGAGGAAGAGCGGCCGGCUUUUUCUCGGUGUGCCCCGGCAGCCCUCCCGCCCAGCGCACGUGUCAAUAGAAGCGGCAGCGCUCCUAGGAGCGGUCUCACGCCUCUCCCCGGCAGCCGAUGGAGCUGCUGCUGCUUCGCGCUCGUCCCCAUUCUCCCCCUCCUUCCUCCGUGCGCGCGGCCGGGCUCCACGGGUGCCGUGAUUGGAAUCCGGCUCCGUCCCGCCCCGCCCGCCCUCCAGCUCCGCAGGGACGCGCCGGGCGUCGGGAGCGCUGCCGGGGAGCGAGCCUGCGCCGCCCCGCCCCGCCCCGCCCCGCCCCGCCCUCCCCCUCCCGGCUCUCGGCCGCCUUCGCUCCCGUCUUACAGGAGCCGUCGGGGUUCCGGGCGCGGCCUGCGUAACGCAGCGGGAGCGGCUCCGUGUUGCUUCGCCUUCCGUCCCGCCGCAGAGGAUGAGGAGCCUCCAGGAGCGGUGAGUGCGGGGUCGUGCCGGGCGGUGUGGAGCGCCGCGCCCCGCUCCUGCGUUCCACCCCUUCUCGGCCCGCGGGGCUCCGAGCACCGGGCCCUCGUCCCGCCCCCGGCCCGCUCUCCCCGUCGGCUGCGGGCUCGGCCCUUCUGCUCCGAGCUCUCCGGCCCGGCCGCUCUCCCCGCCGAGCGCCCUCCGCGGGUCGGGCCGAUGCUCGGAGACCGUCGGCGGGCGAAGCGCGGCGGCUCCCGGGGCCGGCGGCUUCCUGCGUGGGCACGGGGCCGCCUGCGGGGCCGGGCAGGCCCGGCGCACGCCGCUCUGUCUGGCCGCCUUCGCCCUCCCCCUGCGUCUGCGCCCGCGGUGUUGUAA